This 607-nucleotide ribosomal RNA is filed under the name Plateros sp. UPOL A00646. Its description in RNAcentral is "partial 16S ribosomal RNA". The stretch from base 381 to 539 matches the Rfam family "Bacterial large subunit ribosomal RNA", at positions 2473 to 2632 of the family's 2925-position model. Lineage: Eukaryota; Metazoa; Arthropoda; Insecta; Coleoptera; Lycidae. The record is from RNAcentral.
CAUGUCUUUUUGAUUAUAAUUUAAAGUCUGAUCUGCACAAUGAAUAUUAAAUUGCCGCAGUAUUUUGACUGUGCAAAGGUAGCAUAAUAAUUAGUUUCUUGAUUAGAAACUGGAAUGAAUGAUUGGACAAGAAAAUUUCUGUCUCUUUUUAAAGAGUUUUUGAACUUUAUUUUUGAGUUAAAAAGCUCAAAUAUAUAUAAAAGACGAGAAGACCCUAUAGAGUUUAAUAUUUUUUUAUUGAUUGAGUAUUAGAAUAAUUUUUCAAUUUUAAGUAUUUGGUUGGGGUGAUUUGGAGAUUUAAUUAAUUCUUUAAAAUAUUUAAUUGAUGAUGAUCAAAUUUUUUAUCUAAAUUUUUUAAAUUUAAAAUUAAUUACCUUAGGGAUAACAGCGUAAUUUUUCUUUAAAGUUCUUAUUAAAAGAAAAUUUUGCGACCUCGAUGUUGGAUUAAAAUAAAUUUUUGGUGCAGUAGCUUAAAAAUUAGGUCUGUUCGACCUUUAAUAUUUUACAUGAUCUGAGUUUAAACCGGUGUAAGCCAGGUUGGAUUCUAUCUUUAAUUAGAUUAUAUAUUUUAGUACGAAAGGACCAAAUAUAUAUUAUAUAUUAAUUA